This 1197-nucleotide ribosomal RNA is filed under the name Escherichia coli. RNAcentral describes it as "partial 23S ribosomal RNA". It matches the Rfam family "Bacterial large subunit ribosomal RNA", at positions 1028 to 2209 of the family's 2925-position model. Lineage: Bacteria; Pseudomonadati; Pseudomonadota; Gammaproteobacteria; Enterobacterales; Enterobacteriaceae. The record is from RNAcentral.
CAGACCGCCAGCUAAGGUCCCAAAGUCAUGGUUAAGUGGGAAACGAUGUGGGAAGGCCCAGACAGCCAGGAUGUUGGCUUAGAAGCAGCCAUCAUUUAAAGAAAGCGUAAUAGCUCACUGGUCGAGUCGGCCUGCGCGGAAGAUGUAACGGGGCUAAACCAUGCACCGAAGCUGCGGCAGCGACGCUUAUGCGUUGUUGGGUAGGGGAGCGUUCUGUAAGCCUGUGAAGGUGUGCUGUGAGGCAUGCUGGAGGUAUCAGAAGUGCGAAUGCUGACAUAAGUAACGAUAAAGCGGGUGAAAAGCCCGCUCGCCGGAAGACCAAGGGUUCCUGUCCAACGUUAAUCGGGGCAGGGUGAGUCGACCCCUAAGGCGAGGCCGAAAGGCGUAGUCGAUGGGAAACAGGUUAAUAUUCCUGUACUUGGUGUUACUGCGAAGGGGGGACGGAGAAGGCUAUGUUGGCCGGGCGACGGUUGUCCCGGUUUAAGCGUGUAGGCUGGUUUUCCAGGCAAAUCCGGAAAAUCAAGGCUGAGGCGUGAUGACGAGGCACUACGGUGCUGAAGCAACAAAUGCCCUGCUUCCAGGAAAAGCCUCUAAGCAUCAGGUAACAUCAAAUCGUACCCCAAACCGACACAGGUGGUCAGGUAGAGAAUACCAAGGCGCUUGAGAGAACUCGGGUGAAGGAACUAGGCAAAAUGGUGCCGUAACUUCGGGAGAAGGCACGCUGAUAUGUAGGUGAAGUCCCUCGCGGAUGGAGCUGAAAUCAGUCGAAGAUACCAGCUGGCUGCAACUGUUUAUUAAAAACACAGCACUGUGCAAACACGAAAGUGGACGUAUACGGUGUGACGCCUGCCCGGUGCCGGAAGGUUAAUUGAUGGGGUCAGCGCAAGCGAAGCUCUUGAUCGAAGCCCCGGUAAACGGCGGCCGUAACUAUAACGGUCCUAAGGUAGCGAAAUUCCUUGUCGGGUAAGUUCCGACCUGCACGAAUGGCGUAAUGAUGGCCAGGCUGUCUCCACCCGAGACUCAGUGAAAUUGAACUCGCUGUGAAGAUGCAGUGUACCCGCGGCAAGACGGAAAGACCCCGUGAACCUUUACUAUAGCUUGACACUGAACAUUGAGCCUUGAUGUGUAGGAUAGGUGGGAGGCUUAGAAGUGUGGACGCCAGUCUGCAUGGAGCCGACCUUGAAAUACCACCCUUUA